Molecule: ribosomal RNA, 513 nt
Filed under: uncultured bacterium
Lineage: Bacteria
Description: partial 16S ribosomal RNA
Rfam family: Bacterial small subunit ribosomal RNA
Source: RNAcentral
GACGAAUGCUGGCGGCGUGCCUAAUACAUGCAAGUUGAGCGAUGAAGAUUGGUGCUUGCACCAAUUUGAAGAGCAGCGAACGGGUGAGUAACGCGUGGGGAAUCUGCCUUUGAGCGGGGGACAACAUUUGGAAACGAAUGCUAAUACCGCAUAACAGCUUUAAACAUAAGUUUUAAGUUUGAAAGAUGCAAUUGCAUCACUCAAAGAUGAUCCCGCGUUGUAUUAGCUAGUUGGUGAGGUAAAGGCUCACCAAGGCGAUGAUACAUAGCCGGCCUGAGAGGGUGAUCGGCCACAUUGGGACUGAGACACGGCCCAAACUCCUACGGGGGGCAGCAGUAGGGAAUCUUCGGCAAUGGACGAAAGUCUGACCGAGCAACGCCGCGUGAGUGAAGAAGGUUUUCGGAUCGUAAAACUCUGUUGGUAGAGAAGAACGUUGGUGAGAGUGGAAAGCUCAUCAAGUGACGGUAACUACCCAGAAAGGGACGGCUAACUACGUGCCAGCAGCCGCCGCGG